This 87-nucleotide transfer RNA is filed under the name bacterium. RNAcentral describes it as "tRNA-Ser". It matches the Rfam family "tRNA". Rfam says of the family: Transfer RNA (tRNA) molecules are approximately 80 nucleotides in length. Their secondary structure includes four short double-helical elements and three loops (D, anti-codon, and T loops). Further hydrogen bonds mediate the characteristic L-shaped molecular structure. tRNAs have two regions of fundamental functional importance: the anti-codon, which is responsible for specific mRNA codon recognition, and the 3' end, to which the tRNAs corresponding amino acid is attached (by aminoacyl-tRNA synthetases). tRNAs cope with the degeneracy of the genetic code in two manners: having more than one tRNA (with a specific anti-codon) for a particular amino acid; and 'wobble' base-pairing, i.e. permitting non-standard base-pairing at the 3rd anti-codon position. The record is from RNAcentral.
GGAGAGGUGGCCGAGUGGUUUAAGGCGCGCGCUUGGAAAGCGCGUGGGAGCAAUCCCUCGCAGGUUCGAAUCCUGUCCUCUCCGCCA